RNAcentral lists this unclassified non-coding RNA (389 nucleotides) under Hevea brasiliensis (rubber tree). The record is from RNAcentral. Lineage: Eukaryota; Viridiplantae; Streptophyta; Magnoliopsida; Malpighiales; Euphorbiaceae.
GUUUGGGUUCGCGCGACUUUCAUCUCAUUUGCCAACUCCCUCCGGGCAAAAAUGGCUGAACAAACUUCUGACCGCACCACUCCCCUCCUCCGCCGCAACUGGUGGGGCAGCCAUCUUUCCGCUCAUACGUUCACCGGCUCUCUCCGCCUGAAGACCUCCCUACUUUCCGAACUAGGUGGCUCCGUCGGCGAUUUAGGCACUUACAUUCCCAUUGUCUUAGCACUCACAUUAGUCAGCAAUCUUGACCUCAGCACUACCCUUAUAUUCACUGCAUUCUACAAUAUCAUCACUGGUGCUAUUUUUGGAAUCCCCAUGCCUGUUCAACCCAUGAAAUCUAUUGCUGCCGUCGCCGUCUCCGAGAUACCUCAUCUCACUGUUCCCCAAAUUGC